This 465-nucleotide ribosomal RNA is filed under the name uncultured marine eukaryote. Its description in RNAcentral is "bacterial SSU rRNA". It matches the Rfam family "Eukaryotic small subunit ribosomal RNA", at positions 613 to 1093 of the family's 1831-position model. The record is from RNAcentral.
UUGCAGUUAAAAAGCUCGUAGUUGGAUUUCUGGUUGAAAGCCGCCGCCCUCCCGCGAGUGCGCGGAGGCUUUCUUCCAUCCUUCUGUUAAACCUUCUCGGUCUUUGUUGGCCGGUUGGCAGCCCAGAUAUUUUACCUUGAGAAAAUUAGAGUGUUUCAGGCAGGCUUGCGCCCGGAUACAUUAGCAUGGAAUAAUGGAAUAGGACUUUUGCCUCUUCUGUUGGUCUGAGGGGUCGAAGUAAUGAUUAACAGGGAUAGUUGGGGGCAUUAGUACUUAACUGUCAGAGGUGAAAUUCUUGGAUUUGUUAAAGACUAACUUAUGCGAAAGCAUUUGCCAAGGAUGUUUUCAUUAAUCAAGAACGAAAGUUAGGGGAUCAAAGACGAUCAGAUACCGUCCUAGUCUUAACCAUAAACUAUGCCGACUCGGGAUCGGGUGCGUGAGUUAUCCGCUUUCGGCACCGUAUGA